CCCCAAAUUUCUCGGGACGCGGCGGCGGCUGGGUUGGACAAUGAAUGCUCCCAGUCCAAGACGGGAGCUCUGUUCGUUGUGGCUUGCACAGAAUUUCUCGCCGCGUCCUCAUAUUUGCCGAUGGCUUCCUUCGCUGCUAGGGCCAUUUUCCGAUCCUCCUCCGGCAAGGCUACGGCUCUUCUGAGUGCCGGAGCCCGAGCGGGCUCGGCUCGUUCAACAUUUCGCAUUUCUUCCGAACGAUCUUUCUCUCAGUGUGCUGUAUGUAAGGAUUCAAGUUCCGCUCCAUUCUGCUACUUCUUCGGCAUUGAUGACUCCGAUGAUGCAUUCUGUCUCUCGCCAUAGUUAUGGUUGGCUUUCGGAAGAGGUUGUGGGCUUGAUACCUAAAAUUGUAGACACGAAAUUGGAUGGAUAGAAAGGAGGGAUAAAAGAUUAGAGGACAUUCUCACACUAGAAUCAGAGCGCUCCAUCCACGGCCUCUUCCCUUCUGAACGUCAGUUGCCGAAUUCAAACUCUGGAUAAUUACCAAGCAAUCGGAGGAAGAGAGAGCAGAAUCGAAAGGAGUUUCUCGCCUGAUCUCGGUGAUGAAAAGUAGAGAAGAGAAGAGAACGGCGAACUCUAAUGUCGUUGAGAUUGGUUCCGGUAACAGAGUGGGGAGGAACAAAGCAGUUACUCUUGAUGAAGUGAUUGCUUGGGCAAAAGAAGACCAGUUGGUCCUGUCAUUGAGGCCGAAAUCAGACGCUCGAUCAUUACCAGGCUAUCGGAGGAAGAGAGAGCAGAAUCGAAAGAAGUUUCUCGCCUCGUCCCGGUGAUGAAAAAUAGAGAAGAGAAGAGAACGACGAUUGAGAUUGGUUCCGAUAACAGAGUGGGGAAGAACAAAGCAG
Long non-coding RNA from Cucurbita moschata (crookneck pumpkin), 881 nucleotides. RefSeq lists it as uncharacterized. The transcript has 6 exons. The record is from RefSeq and is a predicted model, not a curated record. Lineage: Eukaryota; Viridiplantae; Streptophyta; Magnoliopsida; Cucurbitales; Cucurbitaceae.